This 896-nucleotide ribosomal RNA is filed under the name Firmicutes bacterium 00YDS. RNAcentral describes it as "bacterial SSU rRNA". It matches the Rfam family "Bacterial small subunit ribosomal RNA", at positions 49 to 914 of the family's 1533-position model. The record is from RNAcentral. Lineage: Bacteria; Bacillati; Bacillota.
CUAUACAUGCAGUCGAGCGCGGGAAGCGAACGGAACUCUUCGGAGGGAAGUUCGUGGAACGAGCGGCGGACGGGUGAGUAACACGUAGGCAACCUGCCUGUAAGACUGGGAUAACUCGCGGAAACGCGAGCUAAUACCGGAUAACACUUUCUAUCACCUGAUGGAAAGUUGAAAGGCGGCUUUUGCUGUCACUUACAGAUGGGCCUGCGGCGCAUUAGCUAGUUGGUGAGGUAACGGCUCACCAAGGCGACGAUGCGUAGCCGACCUGAGAGGGUGAUCGGCCACACUGGGACUGAGACACGGCCCAGACUCCUACGGGAGGCAGCAGUAGGGAAUCUUCCGCAAUGGACGAAAGUCUGACGGAGCAACGCCGCGUGAGUGAUGAAGGUUUUCGGAUCGUAAAACUCUGUUGUCGGGGAAGAACAAGUAUGAUAGUAACUGAUCGUACCUUGACGGUACCCGACCAGAAAGCCACGGCUAACUACGUGCCAGCAGCCGCGGUAAUACGUAGGUGGCAAGCGUUGUCCGGAAUUAUUGGGCGUAAAGCGCUCGCAGGCGGUUCUUUAAGUCUGAUGUGAAAUCUUGCGGCUCAACCGCAAACGUGCAUUGGAAACUGGAGGACUUGAGUGCAGAAGAGGAGAGUGGAAUUCCACGUGUAGCGGUGAAAUGCGUAGAGAUGUGGAGGAACACCAGUGGCGAAGGCGACUCUCUGGUCUGUAACUGACGCUGAGGAGCGAAAGCGUGGGGAGCGAACAGGAUUAGAUACCCUGGUAGUCCACGCCGUAAACGAUGAGUGCUAGGUGUUAGGGGGUUUCCGCCCCUUAGUGCUGAAGUUAACGCAUUAAGCACUCCGCCUGGGGAGUACGGCCGCAAGGCUGAAACUCAAUGAUAUGUAG